Molecule: ribosomal RNA, 492 nt
Filed under: Staphylococcus aureus
Lineage: Bacteria; Bacillati; Bacillota; Bacilli; Caryophanales; Staphylococcaceae
Description: bacterial SSU rRNA
Rfam family: Bacterial small subunit ribosomal RNA
Source: RNAcentral
GCGGACGGGUGAGUAACACGUGGAUAACCUACCUAUAAGACUGGGAUAACUUCGGGAAACCGGAGCUAAUACCGGAUAAUAUUUUGAACCGCAUGGUUCAAAAGUGAAAGACGGUCUUGCUGUCACUUAUAGAUGGAUCCGCGCUGCAUUAGCUAGUUGGUAAGGUAACGGCUUACCAAGGCAACGAUGCAUAGCCGACCUGAGAGGGUGAUCGGCCACACUGGAACUGAGACACGGUCCAGACUCCUACGGGAGGCAGCAGUAGGGAAUCUUCCGCAAUGGGCGAAAGCCUGACGGAGCAACGCCGCGUGAGUGAUGAAGGUCUUCGGAUCGUAAAACUCUGUUAUUAGGGAAGAACAUAUGUGUAAGUAACUGUGCACAUCUUGACGGUACCUAAUCAGAAAGCCACGGCUAACUACGUGCCAGCAGCCGCGGUAAUACGUAGGUGGCAAGCGUUAUCCGGAAUUAUUGGGCGUAAAGCGCGCGUAGGCG